This is a long non-coding RNA of Felis catus (domestic cat), 2508 nucleotides long. RefSeq lists it as uncharacterized. The transcript has 2 exons. NCBI's taxonomy places the organism in Eukaryota, Metazoa, Chordata, Mammalia, Carnivora, Felidae. The record is from RefSeq and is a predicted model, not a curated record.
CCAAGCUCUGAGCUAUCAGCACAGAGCCUGAUGCGGGGCUUGAACUCACAAACCGUGAGAUCAUGACCUGAGCCGAAGUCAGUCGCUCAACUGACUGAGCCACCCAGGCACCCCAAGAUCCUAUUAUUUUUAACCUGAGUCUGCAGUUCAUAUAGCAGGCCCUGUUCCUGAUCUGCUUCACAGAGCCUAUCUCUAGCUAUACUGUUUGUCCACCUUAUAACUGGGUGAGCUUUGGGUAGAUAGGUACUUCUCACUGUCCAGCAGUCUUCAAUAAGGGUGCCAGUUGAGCUCACUCUUAUUUAAUUGGAGGCUGGUGCAGAAUAGGCAUCAGUCUGUGAAGAAGAUCAGCCCUCGGCCAGCUAUUUCAGUUCCUUACAGAUCAGCGUGUGUGCGGAUGAUAGAGGUCUCACGACUUGAACCAUAAGACAAUGAUCCUGUGGAUGUUUUCUCAUCUCUUGACUCGACUCUUCCUUUAUUCCUUCCUUCCUUCCUUCCUUCCUUCCUUCCUUCCUUCCUUCCUUCCUUCCUUCCUUCCUUCCUUCCACAGUCUUAUUCUUUUACCUCUUCUCCUCCCAGAUUUUCACAAAAGACUACUUGUUUUUUUUUCUGGAAUGCCACCUCUCCACAUGGAAAAGUGAAGACCUAGUUCAUUUGAUUUCUUCUUGUAGUUUUACUCUCAGGAAUAGAGAAGGGGGAGGGAAUAGGGCAAUGAUCUGUUUUUCACUUUUUUUGGCUAGAUAGCUACAGAUUCAGUUACCUCAUUAAAAAGGCGGCAGUGACUGGCAAAUCUUAAGACAAAACUUACCUUCACGUGGGGCACUUUGUCCUCUGCAUCUUAUAAGUUUAAUUCUAGCCACUGCUUCAUUUUCUCUUGCAGUAUAUUAGUCUUACAAAUUUCAUAGCCUCAGGUGUCCAUUUGGGGUCUGUAGCUUUAGCCCUUGCCUGGUUUCUGCUCUCUUUGUAGUUAGAAUCAUAUUUUAAUAUAACUAAAUCAUACCCCAGUAUUUUUUUUUCACAAUUCAGUGGUUUUUAGCAUAUUCACAAAGUUGUGCGACCAUCACCACAACCUAAGAACUUUUUCAUCACCUCAGUAAGAAACCACACAUCCAUUAGCUGUCACUCUUCAUUUCCCUUACUCUUCUGCCAGCCCUAAUUAACCACUCGUCUAUUUUCUGUCUCUGUAAUCUGUCAUUUCUACUGUUGGUAGAGAGGAUAAGUGCAGAUGGGGAGAAAGGUGAGCUCUGGUUCAGAAGUGAGCUUCUGCUUCUGAUUUCUGCUUAUCUGCCAUCCCCCAAACUUGAAGUUAAAUAAAACUCCUUGCCUCUUUGAAGAUGUUCUUCCAAAGAUUUCCAUCUGAUCUCCAAAAGAUAAUUAUACAUAAUAUCUGUAAAUGUAAAUAUAUUCCUAAAUGUACUCUUAUUUCAUAAGUUUAAUCUUAUUUCUUGUGAAUGAGUGAUCCUAGUGCACACACAUGCACACACACUCACCUGGCCUCUAUAUUUCAAAGCCUUCUUCAAAGCCAGACAAUGAAGGGCAUCAUGCCUCAAACACUGUCCCCUAAUUUCCUGAUUCCUAGGUUUUCCAAAUCAGGCUGCCAUACUUAUAUCUUGGUGAUUUUUAGAUAUCUCACAAUACUAAGUAACAGUAAAGAGUGGGAGUCAGUAGAAUGAACCAUGGGGAAUGACUUGGGGGAAACACCCCCUCUCUGCUGUGUAUACAAUUAGAAUUGACCAAGGAGAGACAAAGAGGGGUGGCAGGGCAGUAUGAGAAGGCUCUUUAGCAGUUAUCUUUUCCAGCUAGAGCAUCUUGGCCUACCUAGCAUCCCCACCCCUCCAGAGUGGUCCUUUGUGAUGUCUAAGCUCCCCUUAACCACCAUUGGCUGCAGUGAGUGCCCUGCUGACUAAACAGAGCAGAAGGGGUGUGACUCCCCAUUGUUCUGGGAGAGGUAUAUAUACAGAGGACAAACCCCUGGGGUUAGACAACUGAGAGGCUGCAAGAUGGCAAAAGUGGUGAAGAAAUCAUGGAAACCGCAAACCACAAGCACCAAGCGGUGGAAGAAGAGGAAGACCACCUCUCAACCCAGAUCAAGAGGCAUUAGCAAGGUGCUAAAGACAUACAAGAAGAUGAAAAAAUCACUUCACAUGAGUUUAAGAAAAAAAUACUCUCCUAAAGUUAUAACUACUUCAAGAAGAAAGAAGAGAGCAAGGAGGGCUAAUUAGUUUCACCCAUAGACUGAGCCAAAAGCAGCCAGGCCAGACCCAACGGACUCUAUAGAACUACACCACUCCAAGACAAGACCGGUGGAAACACUACAUACAGAGCAAGCUUCAGAGACCUCAGACGGUCUGCCUCUAGAGUCCUGGCUGUGGAGAAGUUGCCAACUGCGUAGAGACUGAUACAGAUGCUAAUAUGAAACAUGGAACACAAAUGGAGGUGAUUAAAAUAAAACCAACAGGGUGUAAGAAGCCCCUCCAAAAAAUAAAAUCAGGCAUUCUGCGUAGAAAUGAA